UAGUGAUUGGCAGAAACCUCUCCCCAUGC
Molecule: small RNA, 29 nt
Filed under: Bombyx mori (domestic silkworm)
Lineage: Eukaryota; Metazoa; Arthropoda; Insecta; Lepidoptera; Bombycidae
Description: ovarian small RNA-6478
Source: RNAcentral